RNAcentral lists this ribosomal RNA (1605 nucleotides) under Salmonella enterica subsp. enterica serovar Enteritidis. RNAcentral's name for it is "partial 23S ribosomal RNA". It matches the Rfam family "Bacterial large subunit ribosomal RNA", at positions 780 to 2368 of the family's 2925-position model. Lineage: Bacteria; Pseudomonadati; Pseudomonadota; Gammaproteobacteria; Enterobacterales; Enterobacteriaceae. The record is from RNAcentral.
CCAUAGGCGUUGAAAAGCCCCGGGAUGACUUGUGGAUAGGGGUGAAAGGCCAAUCAAACUUCGUGAUAGCUGGUUCUCUCCGAAAUAUAUUUAGGUAUAGCGUUGUGUCGUAGUAUAAGGGGGUAGAGCACUGAAUGGGCUAGGGCAUACACCAAUGUACCAAACCCUAUCAAACUCCGAAUACCUUAUAUGUAAUCACAGCAGUCAGGCGGCGAGUGAUAAAAUCCGUCGUCAAGAGGGAAACAACCCAGACUAUCAGCUAAGGUCCCCAAGUCUUACUUAAGUGGAAAACGAUGUGAAGUUACUUAAACAACCAGGAGGUUGGCUUAGAAGCAGCCAUCCUUUAAAGAAAGCGUAAUAGCUCACUGGUCUAGUGAUUUUGCGCGGAAAAUAUAACGGGGCUAAAGUAAGCACCGAAGCUAUAGACUUAGUUUUACUAAGUGGUAGGAGAGCGUUCUAUUUGCGUCGAAGGUAUACCGGUAAGGAGUGCUGGAGCGAAUAGAAGUGAGCAUGCAGGCAUGAGUAGCGAUAAUUAAUGUGAGAAUCAUUAACGCCGUAAACCCAAGGUUUCCUACGCGAUGCUCGUCAUCGUAGGGUUAGUCGGGUCCUAAGUCGAGUCCGAAAGGGGUAGACGAUGGCAAAUUGGUUAAUAUUCCAAUACCAACAUUAGUGUGCGAUGGAAGGACGCUUAGGGCUAAGCAAGCUAGCGGAUGGAAGUGCUAGUCUAAGGAUGUAGGAGCUUAUACAGGCAAAUCCGUAUAAGAAUACUCCGAGAUCUUAAAGGCUCUUUGAAGUCUUCGGAUGGAUAGGAGAAUUGCUGAUGCCGUCGAGCCAAGAAAAGUUUCUAAGUUUAGCUAAUGUUGCCCGUACCGUAAACCGACACAGGUGGGUGGGAUGAGUAUUCUAAGGCGCGUGGAAGAACUCUCUUUAAGGAACUCUGCAAAAUAGCACCGUAUCUUCGGUAUAAGGUGUGGUUCGCUUUGUAUUAGAAUUUACUUCGAAAGCAAAGAAACUUACAACAAAGAGUCCCUCCCGACUGUUUACCAAAAACACAGCACUCUGCUAACUCGUAAGAGGAUGUAUAGGGUGUGACGCCUGCCCGGUGCUCGAAGGUUAAUUGAUGGGGUUAGCAUUAGCGAAGCUCUUGAUCGAAGCCCGAGUAAACGGCGGCCGUAACUAUAACGGUCCUAAGGUAGCGAAAUUCCUUGUCGGUUAAAUACCGACCUGCAUGAAUGGCGUAACGAGAUGGGAGCUGUCUCAAAGAGGGAUCCAGUGAAAUUGUAGUGGAGGUGAAAAUUCCUCCUACCCGCGGCAAGACGGAAAGACCCCGUGGACCUUUACUACAGCUUGACACUGCUAUUUGGAUAAGAAUGUGCAGGAUAGGUGGGAGGCUUUGAGUAAUAGACGCCAGUUUAUUAUGAGCCAUUGUUGAGAUACCACUCUUUCUUAUUUGGGUAGCUAACCAGCUUGAGUUAUCCUCAAGUGGGACAAUGUCUGGUGGGUAGUUUGACUGGGGCGGUCGCCUCCCAAAUAAUAACGGAGGCUUACAAAGGUUGGCUCAGAACGGUUGGAAAUCGUUCGUAGAGUAUAAAGGUAUAAGCCAGC